RNAcentral lists this long non-coding RNA (448 nucleotides) under Populus trichocarpa (black cottonwood). Its description in RNAcentral is "long non-coding RNA (PTRI_LNC003981)". Lineage: Eukaryota; Viridiplantae; Streptophyta; Magnoliopsida; Malpighiales; Salicaceae. The record is from RNAcentral.
UCAGAGAAAGUCUUCCCUUCUUCAAAACCAGCAACCAAUGGCACCGCCACUGCUAACACCACCACCACCGCAAGCAACCCACCAAACGCCACAGCAAACAAAUCCCACCUAUACAACCCUACUUCCCGCCUACCUUACCGUCCACAACCUCACACCCGUCGCCAUCGUAGCCGUAGUGGACGAAACAUCUGCUGUUGUUGCUGUUUCUGGACAAUCCUCACCAUCCUCUUGCUCCUCCUCCUCGCUGCCAUUGCUGGUACUGCUCUUUACAUCCUUUACCGACCUCACCGCCCUACCUUCACCAUCACCUCCCUACGCAUCCACCGUCUUAAUCUCACCACCUCUGCUGACUCCUCCAUUUCCCACCUCUCCACUCUUCUUAACCUCACUAUCAUCUCCGAGAACCCCAAUUCACAUAUCUCACUAGACUAUGAACCCUUCACGGUCU